This 251-nucleotide long non-coding RNA is filed under the name Suricata suricatta (meerkat). RNAcentral describes it as "lncRNA (ENSSSUG00005012338.1)". The record is from RNAcentral. Lineage: Eukaryota; Metazoa; Chordata; Mammalia; Carnivora; Herpestidae.
GUUCCCUCCACGCCGGGUUGUUCCCGUAAACAAUGAACGAAUGUCAGCAUGUUUACCUUCGAGGGAGUUUUACAAAAACAACGUUCCUGCUUCCUUAAGCUACUAGAUAAAAAUAUAGACAUAGAUCUGGCUUUGGUGAAACCAGAAAAAAGAAACCCCAACAAUUUGUGCUGAGACCAAGAGGAUACAUCUGUUUCCUGAAUCAACCAGAUCAAAUGAGCAGUGCAUCAAACGCCGCCUGUGCUGAGACU